AAACUGAAGAGUUUGAUCCUGGCUCAGAUUGAACGCUGGCGGCAUGCCUUACACAUGCAAGUCGAACGGCAGCACGGGUGCUUGCACCUGGUGGCGAGUGGCGAACGGGUGAGUAAUACAUCGGAACAUGUCCUGUAGUGGGGGAUAGCCCGGCGAAAGCCGGAUUAAUACCGCAUACGAUCCAUGGAUGAAAGCGGGGGACCUUCGGGCCUCGCGCUAUAGGGUUGGCCGAUGGCUGAUUAGCUAGUUGGUGGGGUAAAGGCCUACCAAGGCGACGAUCAGUAGCUGGUCUGAGAGGACGACCAGCCACACUGGGACUGAGACACGGCCCAGACUCCUACGGGAGGCAGCAGUGGGGAAUUUUGGACAAUGGGCGAAAGCCUGAUCCAGCAAUGCCGCGUGUGUGAAGAAGGCCUUCGGGUUGUAAAGCACUUUUGUCCGGAAAGAAAUCCUUGGCUCUAAUACAGUCGGGGGAUGACGGUACCGGAAGAAUAAGCACCGGCUAACUACGUGCCAGCAGCCGCGGUAAUACGUAGGGUGCGAGCGUUAAUCGGAAUUACUGGGCGUAAAGCGUGCGCAGGCG
RNAcentral lists this ribosomal RNA (583 nucleotides) under Burkholderia cenocepacia. Its description in RNAcentral is "bacterial SSU rRNA". It matches the Rfam family "Bacterial small subunit ribosomal RNA", at positions 1 to 577 of the family's 1533-position model. The record is from RNAcentral. Lineage: Bacteria; Pseudomonadati; Pseudomonadota; Betaproteobacteria; Burkholderiales; Burkholderiaceae.